This 1417-nucleotide long non-coding RNA is filed under the name Homo sapiens (human). RNAcentral describes it as "HSALNT0339010". The record is from RNAcentral. Lineage: Eukaryota; Metazoa; Chordata; Mammalia; Primates; Hominidae.
AGGAGCCUGGUUGGAGGCGAUUGGAUCAUGGGGGUGGAUUUCUUCCUUGCUGUUCUCAUGAUGUUCAGUGAGUUCUCACGAGAUCUGGUUGUUUUUUUAUUUUAUUUUAUUUUUUAUUUUAUGUUAGAGAUGGAGUUCUGCUCGUCGCCCAGGCUGGAGUGCAGGGGCGCAGUCUUGGCUCACCACAACCUCUGCCUCCUGGUUCAAGCAAUUCUCCCGCCUCAGCCUCCCGAGUAGCUGGGAUUACAGCCACCCAAGACAUGCCUGCUUCCCGUUCACCUUCCACUGUGAUUGUGAGUUUCCUGAGGCCUCCCCAGCCGUACUUCCUGGACAGCCUGCAGAACCGUGAGCCAAUUAAACCUCUUUUCUUUAUAAAUUAUCCAGCCUCAGGUAUUUCUUUAUAGCAGUGAGAGAACAGACUCAUACAACUGGGCAUGUCUUCUAAGCAAGGUACUAUUCUAAUCACCAGACAAUAGUGUGCUAGUAACUAUUUAACAACCGGCUCUACGAGAGUAAUCCUGCCAUGAUUACUCACCAUGAUUACGGUGGCUAAUAUUUUCAUUUAUGUUAACAAGUAAGAUAAAGGUAAAACAACAAAAGUGCACGCUGGAACUUGACUCCUUUGUCGAUGACAUGAGAGACUUCCUUGCUGAAUAUGAUAAUAGACUUCCUUGCUGAAUCUGAUCUGAUAAUCCUUUUUUUUUUUUUUUUUAAUUUUCUGAGACAGAGUCUGGCUCUGUCGCCCAGGCUGGAGAGCAGUGGCGUGAUCUCUGCUCACUGCAACCUCCACCUCCUGGGUUCACACCAUUCUCCUGCCUCAGCCUCUCGAGUAGCUGGGACUACAGGCACCCACCACAACGCCCGGCUAAUUUUUUGUAUUUUUUAGUAGAGACGGGGUUUCACCAUGUUAGCCAGGAUGGUCUAGAUCUUCUGACCUUGUGAUCCACCCGCCUCGGACUUCCAAAGUGCUUGGAUUACAGGUGUGAGCCACCGUGCCAGGCCCUGAUAAUAGUUAUGAAAUACUGGAAAAACAGUUUUAAAAUUCUCUGUGCUGUUUACACUUUAACAAUGACAUGCUUUUAUGUUUAAUCUACAUCAUUAAUACUUUUCUCCAUCCCUUCCUUAAAUCUAGACAACAAACCAAACAAUAGGGCAAGCUCUGGUUUGUAGUGUCUGCUGAUUCCUGUGGUGUGAAUACUCCCACCAUGGCCAAUAUCAAGCUGCCAACAUGGUGUCACUAUAUGCAGACUUGGGAAGAGAUGCCUGCUAGCACAUCAUGGUACAGAAUCUCCACUCUGCGGAUAUAAUAGGUGCAAACCCCAAGAGCAGAGCAGAGCAAACAGCAAAAUAAUUAAGGAGUGAUAUGUUUUGAAUAUUCAUUAUCUUUGUUUUCAAUAAAAUUUAUUUAAUUGUAGGC